RNAcentral lists this non-coding RNA (236 nucleotides) under Clostridium tyrobutyricum. Its description in RNAcentral is "T-box sequence". It matches the Rfam family "T-box leader". From Rfam's summary of the family: Uncharged tRNA acts as the effector for transcription antitermination of genes in the T-box leader family. T-boxes are found upstream of many aminoacyl-tRNA synthetase genes and some amino acid biosynthetic genes usually in Gram-positive bacteria. Lineage: Bacteria; Bacillati; Bacillota; Clostridia; Eubacteriales; Clostridiaceae. The record is from RNAcentral.
UUAAAGAUUAUGAAGAGGAAGAGUAGAUAUGAACUGCUUUUGUAGAGAAAAGGAUAAUAUGCUGAAAUAUCCUUUAAGUAAGAGUAUUGAAGAUCACCUUUGAAUUGAAUACUGAAUUUUAGUAAGUAUUUCCGCUUGGUUGCGUUAAAUUAUAAGAGAUGACAGUAUUACUAUGUAAACAUAAUAUAGAAUUGCUGUUAAAUUGGGUGGAACCGCAUGUAGAACUUGCCCCAGUA